Peromyscus eremicus (cactus mouse) is the source of this 267-nucleotide long non-coding RNA. RefSeq lists it as uncharacterized. Lineage: Eukaryota; Metazoa; Chordata; Mammalia; Rodentia; Cricetidae. The record is from RefSeq and is a predicted model, not a curated record. The transcript has 2 exons.
CGAUAGUCUCCCUUGGUGUCACAACUUCCCGUGUGCUCUUGGUUCUGGGACACCACCAACCCACUGCUCUAGCAUGUCGGGGGUCAACCUGGGAGGCCCUUCUUUGCUCGCCGCCUUGACCUGGAAGCUUGGGUCAGCAGACCUAAGGCCAUCCUGGCAGCUGUACUGCUCACCCUGACCUACCAAGCAGUUUACAUUUGAACAUCAUUCUUCAGGGAUUCAUGUACGUACUCAGUAUUAAAGUACUGAUAUCUAAUUGUUAUAGAA